AUGCUUGGGAAUCUGCCCAAUAGCUGGGGGACAACUCGGGGAAACCCGGGCUAAUACCGCAUAAUCUCUACGGAGGAAAGAGGGCCUCUACUUGUAAGCUCUCGCUAAUGGAUGAGCCCAAGUCAGAUUAGCUAGUUGGUAGGGUAAUGGCUUACCAAGGCUACGAUCUGUAGCUGGUCUGAGAGGAUGAUCAGCCACACUGGGACUGAGACACGGCCCAGACUCCUACGGGAGGCAGCAGUGGGGAAUAUUGCACAAUGGGCGCAAGCCUGAUGCAGCAAUGCCGCGUGUGUGAAGAAGGCUCUAGGGUUGUAAAGCACUUUCAAUAGAGAAGAAAAGCUUGAAGUUAAUACCUUC
Molecule: ribosomal RNA, 357 nt
Filed under: uncultured Gammaproteobacteria bacterium
Lineage: Bacteria; Pseudomonadati; Pseudomonadota; Gammaproteobacteria
Description: bacterial SSU rRNA
Rfam family: Bacterial small subunit ribosomal RNA
Source: RNAcentral